GUCAAGGAGAAAAGGAAUGUAUGAGAAAGGAUAUGCAGGAUCUCCUGUGAAGAUUUAAUUUUGGGUGUUUGAUUCGGAUUUAGAAUUCUAGCGGAUACCAAAUCAGGAGUAAGGUUGUGGUUACUAGCAUAGCUGUGGUUACCAAGCGUCAGGCUCCCCUCUUUGUUAGGUUGUUUAUAUGUUUUCCUAUCACCUUGUAGACCUCGAACUUGUUAUUUGCUUUCAUGUUGUAUCUUGAACUUGUAGUACCUC
This is a long non-coding RNA of Dioscorea cayenensis subsp. rotundata (Guinea yam), 252 nucleotides long. RefSeq lists it as uncharacterized. NCBI's taxonomy places the organism in Eukaryota, Viridiplantae, Streptophyta, Magnoliopsida, Dioscoreales, Dioscoreaceae. The transcript has 3 exons. The record is from RefSeq and is a predicted model, not a curated record.